UGCUGUGGCAUUCAUCUGAAGCUUUGGGUAGUGCUGUGACGGAUCCGCGGUUCGGCUCGCAUGCGAUUUGCGGAUUAAUAUGCAAUUUAAAUAGGGUACGUUUAUCAUUAACGUGUUUCUAAGGCUUGCAAUUGUUUAAAUAGUUAAACAAUUUAACCGCAAAAAGGCGCUCAAGUGAGCAGAUUUCUGUACGCACAUGCGGUUCAGUGUAUCCGGUCCAGCUCCAGUCAGGUCCAGAGUUGCGCUACUUUGUGUCAUACUGUACUUGCCGAAUUGCGCGAUCCGAUCGGCGUAUGAAAUCAAAUUAAUACUAUAGCGGAUCUAGAAUGACUGGGGAGCAGACUGCUUUGGCGCCACAAGAACCCACAGGCAAGUGACAACAAAGUACCGCGAGAGCGAUUUCAGUUAUCACAUGGAGAAAUCUGCUUUGAAUCGCUCUCGCGGUACUUUGACAUCACCAAGAGGUCUGCUUAGCGCCAAAUGAACUCGAACCUGCAGUGUAGCUGCUCACGCGACACUGUAAACAAACAGGAAUUGUCCAUCUGGAGAAGUGAACGAGUGGAGCAGUGCUUCAACAUGAAAUCCGAGAGUUAACAACGCACAU
Misgurnus anguillicaudatus (oriental weatherfish) is the source of this 604-nucleotide non-coding RNA. NCBI's taxonomy places the organism in Eukaryota, Metazoa, Chordata, Actinopteri, Cypriniformes, Cobitidae. The record is from RefSeq and is a predicted model, not a curated record.